ACAGGCAGUUAAGUCCCCCAGUCUUCCAACUGUGCCUGUUUCUGCUGCCGACGAGGGAGGGGCCUCUCGGAGGCCUUUUGUGGCCCCUUCCAUCUCCUGCGCCACCAAAUGUGGGCUCUGCAGGGCAGGCGAGUGCCGACGAGGCAACCUCUGGUCUCGGCUUCCCACAAUCCUCCUCCUCCCCGUUAAGAGAACUUGCGUUUCUUCAUGGCUUCCGCCUUGACCGCCAGGCUCUUGGCACAGAUGGUCAGGACCACGAUGAGAACACCCACCACAAACGCCACCACCGGCCAGAGGAAGCAGUGCAGGAGAGCAAUCUCAUCGUGUGUGCGCUGUAGGAGAACGUCCUCUGGUCUGCAAGAGAGAGAGGACAGGAAAGGAAGAUCAGUGAGUCUCUCAGCCCAGCAAACUCUACACAACCUGCAGACGACAAGUGCUCUCCAGCCCAGGGGAAUAAUCACCCUUGAAAGUGAUGACUCUGAUUGCAGACACCGUACCAGUCUGCUCCACACCCAUUUCCAAAAGCUGUGAGCUCUCGAAUCAAUCAUUACUGAGGAUGGCACUGAAUGCCAUUAUCACAAUAAGGAACAACUGAGCCUGUGAAAGAGCUCCUGCGAGGGAGUCUGGAACCACCACACCUGGAGCACGGAGCACGGGCUGGAGAAAACCGGGAGGAAACGGGCAGGAGAGAAGGAAGCGACCGGAAACUGUUGGAUCCAAAAGCGUGUUUUCCUCAGAAACUUUCUAGAAUUCCAUCUCCUGGAUCUUGAGCAACACUUAUGUUUCAGAGCUUUAAGUGACAAAAUAAAAUGACUCAUUGGAGCUGAA
Molecule: long non-coding RNA, 828 nt
Filed under: Mus caroli (Ryukyu mouse)
Lineage: Eukaryota; Metazoa; Chordata; Mammalia; Rodentia; Muridae
Description: lncRNA (MGP_CAROLIEiJ_G0002549.1)
Source: RNAcentral